UGGGAAUUUGGACAAUGGGCGAAAGCCUGAUCCAGCAAUGCCGCGUGUGUGAAGAAGGCCUUCGGGUUGUAAAGCACUUUUGUCCGGAAAGAAAUCCUUGGCUCUAAUACAGUCGGGGGAUGACGGUACCGGAAGAAUAAGCACCGGCUAACUACGUGCCAGCAGCCGCGGUAAUACGUAGGGUGCAAGCGUUAAUCGGAAUUACUGGGCGUAAAGCGUGCGCAGGCGGUUUGCUAAGACCGAUGUGAAAUCCCCGGGCUCAACCUGGGAACUGCAUUGGUGACUGGCAGGCUAGAGUAUGGCAGAGGGGGGUAGAAUUCCACGUGUAGCAGUGAAAUGCGUAGAGAUGUGGAGGAAUACCGAUGGCGAAGGCAGCCCCCUGGCAAGUACUGACGCUCAUGCACGAAAAGCGUGGGGAGCAAACNGGAUUAAUACCCUGGUAGUCCACGCCCUAAANGAUGUCAACUAGUUGUUGGGGAUUCAUUUCCUUAGUAACGUAGCUAACGCGUGAAGUUGACCGCCUGGGGAGUACGGUCGCAAGAUUAAAACUCAAAGAAUUGACGGGGUCAGCUGUUUCCU
This 579-nucleotide ribosomal RNA is filed under the name uncultured bacterium. RNAcentral describes it as "partial 16S ribosomal RNA". It matches the Rfam family "Bacterial small subunit ribosomal RNA", at positions 357 to 931 of the family's 1533-position model. The record is from RNAcentral.